This 2993-nucleotide long non-coding RNA is filed under the name Panax ginseng (ginseng). Its description in RNAcentral is "long non-coding RNA (PGIN_LNC018897)". Lineage: Eukaryota; Viridiplantae; Streptophyta; Magnoliopsida; Apiales; Araliaceae. The record is from RNAcentral.
UACAAUACUAAAGGAGCAGCAGCAGACACCGAUCGUUCCUCCUUCUCUCCUUCUCCUCUCCUUCUCUGGAAAUCGUCUAGCAACAACAAAAGGAGCAGCAGCAGACACCGAUCAAAGCCCACCAAUUACAGUCCACUCCGUCCCUUCCUCCCUCGCGCAGAUCGGGUGGCGGUGGUAUUAACGGCGGUGGUAGUCGAUUUAAAGCUCAUCAAGCCAUUAACGGCGGCGGUGGUAUUAACGCCUGUGGUAUUAACGCCGGCGGUGGUAUUAACGUCCCUUCGUCGUCACAAUCGUUCGGGUUAGUCGAUUUAAAGCUCAUCAAGCCAUCUUUUUCCUACACCACUACACCAGAUUAGGAAACUCAUUAAUAAUUGGAUCUGUCGAUUUAGGGUUUUUCUAUGUUGUUUGAAUUGGAACUGUUGGGAAGUUUGGUGAAUCGAAAAUUGUUGUUUUCUUUUUCGGAUAUGAAAAUGAACCAAGGGUUCAUGAAUUUUUUUCAGAUUAAUUAGUUUAAAUUGAUGUGAACGAAUUUAAUUUAUGUUUUGGUUUGAUGUCAAGAAUUUUGAUUAUGUUUUGGUUUCAGAUUUUGCAGACUACGAACAUCAAGAGGAAGAAGACGUAAUAUUAAAUAUAAAUAUUAAUUUUGUUUAUUAAUUAUUUAUUUUAUUUUUCUUUAAAACAAAAUAAAUAAUUAAUAAACAAAAUAAAUAUCAACAAAUAUUGCCAUGUCAGCAAAUAUUGACACGUGUCAGCCACGUCAUAGAAGGUUUAACACCACAGCUGUCAACAGCAGGGACACGAAUGAUCCAAAAAACAUAACGUUAAGUGUAUUUUUGGAUAAAAAAAAAAGUAUAAAAUGUUCGAUAGACAUUGAAAAAAAUGUCAGAAGUAUUUUUGGACCUUAUCUCGUCUCCGAUAGUGAGAUAAAAAAAGUAAAGUUAGAAAAUGGAAAAGUAAAAAUCUGCAUGCCUCUAUGAAAAAGCUGUAGCCUUUAGAUAGUUAGUAUGGGUAUGGGCAUGGGUAUGGGAACGGAUUUGACUGUACGGGUAUGGGUACGGAUACGUAUGCAUGCUUAAUAAUUCAAUUAUUAUAAGGUGCAAAUGUUGUUGCUAGUUAGGUAGGUAGGUCUUCUAGUUGCACAACAAUUUGAUUUCAAUACAGUUUGCAUAUAUACUUCUCAUGGUAGCAUGACUUGUUUUAUGUACCAUUAAUUAUAAGUAAUGCGAAUAUCAAUACGUUUUGAAUUAAACAAUUGUUUCAAGGGUUGUUAUUUUAUAUUAUUUUAUUUUAUUUUUAAUUAUUUGUCAUUUUAUAUAAUUUAGAAAAAUUAACAAUAAUUUUUUUAAAAUUAUUUAUCAUGAAAAAAUGUUACAAAUAAGAGAAAAAAUAUAAAAUAAAUAUGAUAGUUAUGAAAAUUUAAGGAUAUUAUAAAUAAUUAUAUUUAAUACUAUACAUUUAUUUUUUUAAUAAUUGUUUACCACUCCAAAAUAACAUAUAUUAAAGAGACGGGGAGAGUAUAUUUGUAUAAUAAUGAUAUUUGUUUGGUCUUUUAUCUCAAGUUUUAAUCGACUCCUUGCCUUCAACUUUUAUCAUCUCCCUCUCAUUCGCUCACUCACUCUCACACUCACACUCACACUCUCUCUCACACACACACACACAUAUAUAUAGAGUAAGAAUCUUAGACUCACCCAUCUAAAAACUCACUCGACUCACCUAUAUAUACACUCCUUUUUUGCUUCUCUUUCCUCAUUACAGUCAGCCCAAAAAAGAUCAAAUACGACUUUUGCUCGCCUCUCUCUCUCCGCGAAAAAUUGCAGCCCCUUGUCCCUCUCUCUUCGCGACGAGUCAGUCCCUUCUCUCUCCUCCGAAUCACCUUGCAGCAAUAUAUAUCGACGAAGAGAUCUCCACAUCAGCAACUGAAGCCAUUUCGCUAGACAAACUAAUACGAAGAGAUGUGAGCCCUUCUCGUCGAUUCGUCAAUUUUAGACCAAGGUAACAAAAUUAGAACUUUGUAUAUGGAUUUUCUUGUUGUAUGGGUUGAAAUCAGGCUUAGAUUUGUUCCAAUUUGUGUUUUGGUGUUCAAGAAUAGCUUUUUUAGGGCUUAAAAUUAAUGAGGGCCAAACCCUAUAAUCUGCAAAUUUUGGUUAAGAUUUUCUGUUUUCAGUUUAUUGUAAUAGUAAUGAGUCCAUCGUGAUAGUAAUUAAUGAGUCAUUUUUUCUGCUGAAGAAUUUACUUUGGUUGUGAGAAAAUUGCACUAAUAUAGUCAAAAUAGCUUGGGAUGGAGUUGGGUUCGGUGUACAAAGCUGGUAUGUUGUAGUCUUUUGAUGUAAAUAGAAAUGUUUUGCACAUCCUCUGUAAUGGAAAAUUUCAAAGCUGUUUGUACAAAAUUAUUGACAUUGUGGACUCUAAUGCGUACAGCGAGCUGGAGUAGUCUUAUCUCGCUAAUAUUAACAUUAGCCUUGCAUUUAUUUGCUGCUGGAAUAGUGUUUGUUUACAUAUUCUUUGAGUCAUUAGAUGGUGCGAUAUUAUUAAUUCCAGGGGGCACGCAUAUUCUUUGAGUCAUUUGCAGUUGAUUAAUGUAUUUCGUCUGCUGUCUAUUUGCUGCUGUCAGUUUUUUGUGCGACAGAUCAAGGCAAAUAAUGCCUGGAUUAAUUCGAAAGAUCAAUGGAAUGGAAGAUCAAUGGAAUGGAGCAAGAGAAGGAGAACAUGCGUGCAAUAACAUGCGUGCAAUAGGCAACAAAGGAAGAACAAAAUUAAUUAUUGCACUUGUAUGUUCUUGGUUAUUGAUUUUAAUAAUGUUAUUGUAGAAGGAGUAAAAAUUGUCAUUUGGCUUGAUUAAACUUUGGUGUUAAUUUAUUGUAACCUUGUCUAAGAAGGACAUGUAAUCAUAGUAUGAUUUCGUUUUUUAUGGUUGUGUAAUCGUGUGGUGGCAAUGAAAUAUGAAAUACUUAUUUACUAAAUCGUGUGGUGUGAAUGUUAUAUGUUACCUGUAC